This 156-nucleotide ribosomal RNA is filed under the name Triticum dicoccoides. RNAcentral describes it as "rRNA 5_8S_rRNA". It matches the Rfam family "5.8S ribosomal RNA". From Rfam's summary of the family: 5.8S ribosomal RNA (5.8S rRNA) is a component of the large subunit of the eukaryotic ribosome. It is transcribed by RNA polymerase I as part of the 45S precursor that also contains 18S and 28S rRNA. Lineage: Eukaryota; Viridiplantae; Streptophyta; Magnoliopsida; Poales; Poaceae. The record is from RNAcentral.
GACUCUCGGCAACGGAUAUCUCGGCUCUUGCAUUGAUGACGAACGUAGCGAAAUGCGAUACCUGGUGUGAAUUGCAGAAUCCCGCAAACCAUCGAGUCUUUGAACGCAAGUUGCGCCCGAGGCCACUCGGCCGAGGGCACGCCUGCCUGGGCGUCA